AGAUUGAACGCUGGCGGCAGGCCUAACACAUGCAAGUCGAGCGGAAACAGAGAGUAACUUGUUACUUUGCUGUCGAGCGGCGGACGGGUGAGUAAUGCUUGGGAAACUGCCCAGUCGAGGGGGACAACCAUUGGAAACGAUGGCUAAUACCGCAUACGCCCUACGGGGGAAAGAAGGGGACUCUUCGGAGCCUUUCGCGAUUGGAUGUGCCCAAGUGGGAUUAGCUAGUUGGUGAGGUAAAGGCUCACCAAGGCGACGAUCCCUAGCUGGUUUGAGAGGAUGAUCAGCCACACUGGAACUGAGACACGGUCCAGACUCCUACGGGAGGCAGCAGUGGGGAAUAUUGCACAAUGGGCGCAAGCCUGAUGCAGCCAUGCCGCGUGUAUGAAGAAGGCCUUCGGGUUGUAAAGUACUUUCAGCGAGGAGGAAAGGUUGUAGUUUAAUAAACUACAGCUGUGACGUUACUCGCAGAAGAAGGACCGGCUAACUCCGUGCCAGCAGCCGCGGUAAUACGGAGGGUCCGAGCGUUAAUCGGAAUUACUGGGCGUAAAGCGUACGCAGGCGGUUUGUUAAGCGAGAUGUGAAAGCCCCGGGCUCAACCUGGGAACUGCAUUUCGAACUGACAAACUAGAGUUUUGUAGAGGGUGGUAGAAUUUCAGGUGUAGCGGUGAAAUGCGUAGAGAUCUGAAGGAAUACCAGUGGCGAAGGCGGCCACCUGGACAAUAACUGACGCUCAUGUACGAAAGCGUGGGGAGCAAACGGGAUUAGAUACCCCGGUAGUCCACGCCGUAAACGAUGUCAACUAGCCGACUGACCCCUUGAGGGUUGGGUGGCGCAGCUAACGCAUUAAGUUGACCGCCUGGGGAGUACGGCCGCAAGGUUA
RNAcentral lists this ribosomal RNA (883 nucleotides) under uncultured bacterium. RNAcentral describes it as "bacterial SSU rRNA". It matches the Rfam family "Bacterial small subunit ribosomal RNA", at positions 26 to 896 of the family's 1533-position model. The record is from RNAcentral.